Rhinolophus ferrumequinum (greater horseshoe bat) is the source of this 87-nucleotide small nucleolar RNA. Ensembl annotates it as small nucleolar RNA, C/D box 35B. Its record names the gene SNORD35B. NCBI's taxonomy places the organism in Eukaryota, Metazoa, Chordata, Mammalia, Chiroptera, Rhinolophidae. The record is from Ensembl.
GGCAGAGAUGCCUGUUUUCACGAUGGACUUCAGAUGCCUGCUACAGGCACUGCUGAGCAACCCACUUGGCACAACUGAUGCCAGAAG